GAAAGACUGAAUCAAGCUAUUGGGACUGCGCAAAAUUCAAGUGACAAAGAUCCAAGGCCCGUGCAGGUUACAGUUGAAACCCUAGAAAAGGGUUAUCUGAUUAAUGUAAUUUCAGAAAAGAAUUGCCCAGGUCUACUUGUCUCAAUACUUGAAACUUUUGAUGAGCUGGGUCUUAAUGUGCAAGAAGCUAGUGCCUCCUGUGAAGAAAGCUUUCGAUUAGAGGCAGUUGGACAAAAUGAAGAAAGUACGGAAAGCGUUGAUGCCCAAGUGGUAAAACAAGCUGUGUGUCAGGCUAUCAAGAACUGGAGCGAAAGCAAUGAGCAAGAUUAGCCACCAAA
Non-coding RNA from Camellia sinensis, 338 nucleotides. Lineage: Eukaryota; Viridiplantae; Streptophyta; Magnoliopsida; Ericales; Theaceae. The record is from RefSeq and is a predicted model, not a curated record.